Molecule: long non-coding RNA, 392 nt
Organism: Choloepus didactylus (southern two-toed sloth)
Lineage: Eukaryota; Metazoa; Chordata; Mammalia; Pilosa; Megalonychidae
Exons: 3
Source: RefSeq, a predicted model, not a curated record
CUGGCUGCGGCUCCAACGCCCCUCGCGGGCGUUGGCCCAACAGCUCAAUAUCGAUUUCCAGCGGAGACGGGGUUUUCCCGCGGUCACUCUUCUGCGGGACCUGCGGGUGUUUUCUUCCUUGCGGGAGAACAGCGGAGUCCGCGCAACCUCCCGGGGCGAGAAGGAGACGAAGCGACCGCCCAGAGGUCAGGGCCUCUGCCAAUGGCUUGAAUAAAUCGUUGGCCCGAUAUAGGAUGGAAUGACCAUGCCCGCGCGUGGCUGCACUUUUCUUACCAUCCGGGGAGCUGGAACCAGCUUGUGCGAGGUGUCCGUCAUUAAGGGUGCAUGCCAAGGAGUGCUUCUAAAUGACUGGAGACCAAAGAUAAAGCAAGAGAGAGGGAGAGCAAGCAUGG